RNAcentral lists this ribosomal RNA (402 nucleotides) under bacterium. RNAcentral describes it as "partial 16S ribosomal RNA". It matches the Rfam family "Bacterial small subunit ribosomal RNA", at positions 355 to 776 of the family's 1533-position model. The record is from RNAcentral.
UGGGGAAUUUUGCACAAUGGGGGAAACCCUGAUGCAGCGACGCCGCGUGAUUUAGAAGGCCUUCGGGUUGUAAAAAUCUUUUUUACGGGAUGAAAAUGACAGUACCGUAAGAAUAAGGUCCGGCUAAAUACGUGCCAGCAGCCGCGGUAAUACGUAUGGACCGAGCGUUGUCCGGAAUCAUUGGGCGUAAAGGGUACGUAGGCGGCCUAGUAAGUUAGAAGUGAAAUAAUAUAGCUCAACUAUAUAAAGCUUUUAAAACUGCUAGGCUUGAGAGAUGGAAGUGAAAGUGGAAUUCCUAGUGUAGCGGUGAAAUGCGCAGAUAUUAGGAAGAAUACCGGUGGCGAAGGCGACUUUCUGGUCAUCAUCUGACGCUGAGGUACGAAAGCGUGGGUAGCAAACAGG